Molecule: RNA transcript, 3033 nt
Organism: Glycine soja
Lineage: Eukaryota; Viridiplantae; Streptophyta; Magnoliopsida; Fabales; Fabaceae
Exons: 5
Source: RefSeq, a predicted model, not a curated record
UGUACUGGAAUGAGACGUAAACUUUCAAUUUAACCCCACCUUUGAGUUCUCUGUUCUGAACCGAACGAAAUCAUAUAAAAGAGAUAAUUCACAACAGACUCUCACCUGAUAACAAUACGAAACCUUCGAAUCUAUGACUCCCAUAACACUAACGGUACACAGAAACCAGAAUCCCGUGAUUCUAAGCAACCGAAAGAUUAACUCAAACACAACAAGUCGCUGACAUGUUCUUUUCUUCCCACAUCUUUUUUUCUCUUUUCACUCUGUUCUGAAUCUCACCAAUUAGGUAACACUUCACCCUCUGUGCUGAAUCGGACUCGCAUGUGAAAAACUCUUCUUCUAAAGAGUUUGCACGUACAUCUUUGUCCUUUCGGGUGCAAAGUCUCAUUCUUUUUUAGUGCAAAAUUUUCAAAGGUGAAAUCAGAGUUUGCAUGACUCUCCCCUGUUUUCAAUUCCUCUGUUUUGCUUCAAAAGGAACAAACGCGCUUGUGGGAUGGAUUCACUCCCCAACGAUAUUUGCAUGAAAUACCCACUUCUCUUUCGGUUAGUAUGGAUUCUCUGAAAGGUUUUCUUCACCAAAAAUGGAUCCUUUUUGGGAGUGCUUUUGGAUUUUUCUCUCUAAGCUUUUGAAUACUCUGCUUUGGGUAUUCACCAAAGUCAUCGUGAGAUUAUAUGGUUCUGAUUCUUAUAAAGCGAUGAAACCGCUUUGUUCUUCUGAGUUUGUAUGUGACAAUGAGAAAGCUGAGUCAAUUCAUUCCAAGUCUGAAUAUUUUGGGGCACUAAAUGAUACUCUCUCACAUGGAAGUGAUCAAAUUGAUUCUAAUGGUUUCCAGAAAGAAGCAGAGUCCAUGGAAAAAUGUUGUUCCGAAACUGUUCAUGAUAGUGGGAAUUCUGGACUUGAAGAAGAGGAAACACCAAAGUUGGUUUUCAAAUUUGAAUAUCAAAAGUGGAAUUGCAAUUAUGAUGAAGAAUUCAAAGGAGGGAAUGGUGAAAGUGGUGAUUUUGUGAAGGGGGGUGAUGCUGUUUCUGCUAGCACCAAUAAAUAUGAGUUCAUGUCAGGCACGAGUUUCAGCCACUUCUUGGAUGAACCCGAGGCUGAAAAUUUCACGUUCAAAGAAUGUUUUGUUCAUUCAAAUGAUGCUUUGGAAUUGGAAAAUCAUGUUGACAAUGAUUUUGGGUUCUUAUCAAGGAAGAAAUUCAUUCCAGAAAAUUGUGAUAGAGGGAUUAUGUCAGAAAAUCUUAACAGUUUCACAGAAAGUCCACACAAAGAGGUGUCAGAGAAGUUCAAAGCUGAGGAACCAAUGGGGCAGUCUGUAGAGCCAGUUGUUCGCAAUUUUCUUUCCGGGGAUGAUUUUAUUUGUUCAAGUUCUGACUCAGAUUCUGUUGUCAGUUCUUUGGGGGAGGGGUUUUUGUCAGACACAGACUUUGGAACCACUACUGAGUUUGACACAUUGGGAAGCAAUGCAACAGAAGAGGAUUUGGACUUUGGGGAUGAGAAAAACUAUGAGGAUUUGGAUGUUGGAUAUGACCCUGAUGAUUUUACUGAAGAGGAUGAAGAUAUAAUGGAUGAGCUUGGAAACUUGGAAGAAGAAUGUAGGCUGGAGAAGUCUUCAGGUAAAAAUUCUGAAGAUAGUAAUAGCAUCAAUUCCAAACAUGAACAAUCUGUGAAGCCUAAUUCACAGGCUUUAGCAACUAUUGAUCUUGAGGAUUCCAACCGUUUUGACACACUAUGGGAGCAUCAAGAUUUGAUAGAACAAUUGAAGAUGGAGCUGAAGAAGGUCAGAGCCACUGGUCUUCCUACCAUCCUUGAGGAUUCUGAGUCUCCAAGGAUAAUGGAAGACUUGAAGCCAUGGAAAAUUGAUGAAAAAUUACAGCAUGGUAGCACCACAAAUGAACUUCCAAAAUUCUACAGGAGUUACCGAGAACGAAUGCGAAAAUUCGAUAUCUUGAAUUACCAAAAGAUGUAUGCUUUAGGUGUUUUACAGUCAAAGGACCCACUCCAAUCAUUUUCAACCCGUAAGAACCCUUCACCAGCAUUCACAUCCAUUCUUACACGCGGCUUUCGCCUUUCUAGACGUAAAAACACUGAAGUUGACCCAAUGAGGAAGUUCAUAAGAGAGUUGUACAGUGAUUUGGAAAUGGUUUAUGUGGGGCAGUUGUGCCUUUCUUGGGAAUUUCUUCAGUGGGAAUAUGAGAAGGCCUUGAAGCUAUGGGAAUCUGACCAAUACGGGUUGCUAAGGUUCAAUGAAGUAGCAGGGGAAUUUCAACAAUUCCAUGUCCUUCUCCAAAGGUUUAUAGAGAACGAACCAUUCCUCCAAGGUCCACGGGUUGAAAACUAUGCUAGGAAUCGUUGUGCAAUGCGCAAUCUUCUUCAAGUUCCAGUAAUAAGAGUUUCAUACAUUAGAGACAAAAAAUUCCUCAUGGUUAUAGAAUCUUAAUUGGAUGCAGAAGACAAUAAGGAUAAAAGGAAAUUCAGAAAAAGAGAGGCUGAUAAAGAUGCAAUCACAAGUGACAUGCUAGUGGAGAUUUUGGAAGAAUCCAUCAGAACAAUUUGGCGUUUAAUAAGAGCUGAUAAAGAUGCAUCCAGCUUGGCACUUAAAGGUCAAAGAGAAAACCAAGUAGAGCUCCAAGACCCUUCAGAUUCACAGAUUUUGGUGGAGAUUAGAACGGAUCUUCAAAAGAAGGAAAAGAGACUGAGAGAGCUUUUGAGGAGUGGAAGCUGCAUAUUGAAGAAGUUCCAAAAGCAUCAUCAUGAAGAUGGGGCAGAUCAAGUGCUUUAUUUUUUCUCUCAAGUGGACAUGAAAUUGGUUUGGAGAGUGUUGAACAUGUCAAGAAUAACGACCGACCAACUCGCAUGGUGUCGUAGCAAACUAAACAAGAUCAAUUUUGUUAACAGAAGGAUACAUGUAGAGCCAUCAUUCUUACUUUUCCCUAGUUAAUAGUUAAUUGCAAAAGAUUUGUGUAUAUGUUCCUUCACAUUUAGAAGGCCAUUAUUAAAUUAGUAAAAAAUUUUGCAUAUAACUUUUCAACAAA